CGGUCAGUUCAGAGGGUUCGAUUCUGGCUCAGGAUGAACGCUAGCGGCAGGCUUAACACAUGCAAGUCGAGGGGCAGCGUGGAGUAGCAAUACUCUGACGGCGACCGGCGAAAGGGUGAGUAACGCGUGAGCAACAUGCCCGGUACCGGGGGAUAGUCGAUGGAAACGUCGUGUAAUACCCCGUAACAACAGAGGCCGCAUGACCUUUGUUUAAGAGAUUUAUCGCUACCGGAUUGGCUCGCGUCCCAUUAGGCAGUUGGCGGGGUAACGGCCCACCAAACCGACGAUGGGUAGGGGUUCUGAGAGGAAGGUCCCCCCACAUUGGAACUGAGACACGGUCCAGACUCCUACGGGAGGCAGCAGUGAGGAAUAUUGGACAAUGGCCGAGAGGCUGAUCCAGCCAUGCCGCGUGCGGGAGGAACCGGCCCUAUGGGUUGUAAACCGCUUUUGUUGGAGAGCAAUAAGGUCCACGUGUGGAUCGAUGAGAGUAUCCAGCGAAUAAGCAUCGGCUAACUCCGUGCCAGCCGCUGC
RNAcentral lists this ribosomal RNA (531 nucleotides) under uncultured bacterium. RNAcentral describes it as "bacterial SSU rRNA". It matches the Rfam family "Bacterial small subunit ribosomal RNA", at positions 1 to 518 of the family's 1533-position model. The record is from RNAcentral.